This 73-nucleotide transfer RNA is filed under the name Synodus foetens (inshore lizardfish). RNAcentral describes it as "tRNA-Val". It matches the Rfam family "tRNA". From Rfam's summary of the family: Transfer RNA (tRNA) molecules are approximately 80 nucleotides in length. The record is from RNAcentral. Lineage: Eukaryota; Metazoa; Chordata; Actinopteri; Aulopiformes; Synodontidae.
CAAGAUGUAGCUAAGACAGUUAAAGCACCUCCCUUACACCGAGGAGACACCCGUGCAAUUCGAGUCGUCUUGA